This 760-nucleotide ribosomal RNA is filed under the name uncultured Prevotella sp. RNAcentral describes it as "bacterial SSU rRNA". It matches the Rfam family "Bacterial small subunit ribosomal RNA", at positions 28 to 776 of the family's 1533-position model. The record is from RNAcentral. Lineage: Bacteria; Pseudomonadati; Bacteroidota; Bacteroidia; Bacteroidales; Prevotellaceae.
GAUGAACGCUGGCUACAGGCUUAACACAUGCAAGUCGAGGGGAAACGACGGGGAAGCUUGCUUCCCCGGGCGUCGACCGGCGCACGGGUGAGUAACGCGUAUCCAACCUGCCUCUGACUGAGGGAUAACCCGUCGAAGGUCGGCCUAAUACCUCAUGGCAUCGUCUGCGGGCAUCCAACGACGAUUAAAGAUUUCAUCGGUCAGGGAUGGGGAUGCGUCUGAUUAGCUUGUUGGCGGGGUAACGGCCCACCAAGGCUACGAUCAGUAGGGGUUCUGAGAGGAAGGUCCCCCACAUUGGAACUGAGACACGGUCCAAACUCCUACGGGAGGCAGCAGUGAGGAAUAUUGGUCAAUGGGCGAGAGCCUGAACCAGCCAAGUAGCGUGCAGGAAGACGGCCCUAUGGGUUGUAAACUGCUUUUAUGCGGGGAUAAAGUGAGGGACGUGUCCUUCAUUGCAGGUACCGCAUGAAUAAGGACCGGCUAAUUCCGUGCCAGCAGCCGCGGUAAUACGGAAGGUCCGGGCGUUAUCCGGAUUUAUUGGGUUUAAAGGGAGCGUAGGCCGUGGAUUAAGCGUGUUGUGAAAUGCAGGUGCUCAACGUCUGCACUGCAGCGCGAACUGGUCCACUAGAGUGUGCGCAACGCAGGCGGAAUUCGUCGUGUAGCGGUGAAAUGCUUAGAUAUGACGAAGAACUCCGAUUGCGAAGGCAGCUUGCGGGAGCACAACUGACGCUGAAGCUCGAAAGUGCGGGUAUCGAACAGG